Molecule: long non-coding RNA, 3902 nt
Organism: Pan troglodytes (chimpanzee)
Lineage: Eukaryota; Metazoa; Chordata; Mammalia; Primates; Hominidae
Exons: 3
Source: RefSeq, a predicted model, not a curated record
GCCACUGCAAUCCAGCCUGGGUGACAGAGUAAGACUCUGUUUAAAAAAAAAAGAAAAGAAAAGAAAAGAAAAUGAUGAGCACACUAGUUGGUGUUUUGGGUGUCUAUGAUGUGGUUACAUUCACUUAGGUGGUAUCUCUCCUUUCUCAGCACCACCAGGUAAAUAAUAAAAAUGGUGGGUAGCCAGGCAUUGGUGGUGCAUGCCUGUAGUCCCAGCUUCUUGGGAGGCUUACAUGGGAGGAUCACUUGAGCCCAGGAGUUGGAGACCAGCAUAACAUAGCAAGAUCCUGUUUCUUUUCCUUUUUUGGGGGUUGGGGGGACAGAGUCUUCCUCUGUUGCCCAGACUGGAGUGCAAUGGCACCAUCUCAGCUCACUGCAACCUCUGCCUCCUGGGUUCAUGCAAUUCUCCUGCCUCAGCCUCCCAAGUAGCUGGGAUUACAGAUAUGCACCACCACACCCAGCUAAUUUUUGUAUUUUUCAUAGAGACGGGGUUUCACCAUGUUGGCCAGGCUGGUCUCAAAUUCCCGACCUCAAGUGAUCCACCUGCCUCGGCUUCCCAAAGUGCUGGGAUUACAGGUGUGAGCCACUACACCUGGCCUAGCAAGACCCUGUUUCAAAAACAGCAAACAAAAAACCCGUAAGUAACCCACCUAGCAGUGUGCUAAGAGCUCUCCUCUGGCUCCUCAUUUAAAUUCCACUUAUCCAGGGAGGAAGGUAUCAUGAGUAAUCCCAUUUUAUAGAUGUGGAGGCUGAGGCUAAGAGAGGGAAUGCAACACACCCAGGGUCACGCAGCCAGCAAGAACUUGAUGGGAAUUGGAACCCAGGCUAGCAGAUUCCAAAGCUGGUGCCCUUCACCCAUCAGCUCUCUUGACUGCUAAGGUUUUCCUCUCUUGUUUCUGCAGACUGCAGCCUGGUGGGUGUCUCCAGCUGUCCUUUAACUUCUCCAUUUCCCUCAGUUCCCUGGGAAGGUUCAGGGUGGUGGGCUUGCCUUUCAGGAUGCCUUUCAUCGUCAGGGCCCCUGUGUCCACUGCUGUGACAUUUGGUGAGGAACAGCUCCCUUCCUGGAGCCAAAGAGCAUUCAUUGUCUGGCCACAGGAAAAGCACGCCACAUGUCCCCUGAUGACCUGAAGAUGAAUCCUGACUGCCUGGACAUGCCUGGGCGGGUGUACCCAUGGCCUGUGGUUGAACCAGCCACACCUUGUCUCUUGGCCAGAGGUAAUGUCCAGGCUCAUCUCUCUGUGUAGUAAUUGGACCCAGCUGGAGGGCGGGAGGUGAUAGCUCCUGGGAAGUGCGGUCCAGGGUCCUGGCCAGGGAGUCACAGUGGCUGCUCUGCAGGCUGCCCUGAGGCUGAGGGUUGUGAGUCCUGGGAUCUGCUGGGGAAGUCCAAGGCAUAUCGCACCAGCUGCCCCUAGCUGCUGCCUGCAGCUGGAGGUCACAGGCCCCCCAUGUUGAAGAAGUGUCACCUUCAAAGGGAGGUCACCAUGCAGCAGCAUCAUGGCUGGAAAGGACCAGAGUGAGUGAGAGCCAGCAUCGCUGUUUCUGAUCCACCAGUGACCUGCUACACAGAAAUGGCAAGUUAUUUCUCUCCUCUGGAUCUCAGAUUUCUCACCCUUAAAUAAAAGGGCACGCAGUGGCAUGGAACCACGCUGACACCUAUCACUGUUAAGCGAGGCCAGGACACAGUCUGAUCUCCAUCUCCACUUUUUGUUGUUGUUAAAUGAAACGGAAGAGCAUCUCCCUGCAGAAGUAAACCAUGCACAGAGCCCUAAUGACAUCAUUGCUUCAGCCCCUGGAUCCAGCCAGGCCUGAAGCAGGAUAACCCUGGACUUCCCAGUGAGGUGUGGGACAGAAAGUCAUCUCUCUGCUCACCUGAGACAAAUGCGUAUCUGAUUGCUUCCUCUGCUGAUGUAAAAUGCAGAUUCACUGAGCCAGACUAAACUGUAUCCAGUGAAAGGCUGAUCAAAGACUCGAAAGAAGGCAACCUUUUGUCUCUUAUCUACCUAUGACCUGGAAGCCCUCCCGCUUCGAGUUGUCCUCCCUUUCUGGACCAAACCAAUGUACAUCUUACACAUAUUGAUUGAUGUCUCAUGUCUCCCUACAAUGUAUAAAAGCCGGCUGUAUCCUGACCACCUUGGGCAUGUGGUCAUCAGAACCUCCUGAGGCUGUGUUGUGGGUACGUCCUUAAUCUUGGCAAAAUAAGCUUUUCUAUAUUGAUUGAGAUCUGUCUCAGAUAUUUUGGAUUCACAGUGUGUCCUUACAGGCGUUUCCGAGAUUACUUUCAUGUUUGGUGAAUUGCUAGAAGGACUCAUAGGGCUCAACAUACAGUCAUACCUAUGGCUAGGAUUUAUCACAGCAAACCGAUACAAAGAGAAAUAGUAAAUGGAAAAAAUGUGUUGGACAAAACCUGGAGGAAACGAGGUGCAAGCUUCUAAGCGUCCUCUCCCAGCGGAGUCCAUAGGAUAUGCUUAAUUUCUCCAGCAUCAGACUGAGAGAACAGGUGUGAAUGUUGUAAACUGGGGAAGCUUGUCUGUGCCUAGGAGUCCAGGGUUUUAUGAAGGGUCAAUUUCAUAGGCACUCUUUGCCUAGCAUGUAUCAAACUACCAGACCCUCAGAAGGAAAGCAGGUGUCUAGCAUAAACCACAUUGUACAAACAUUUAAGCAUUCCCUAAUUGAUAAACUGAUUAGCCCGUCUUAACAGUUAGCGAAUAGGGAAAAUACUCCCUAAAUCCAAGUUCCCAGAUACCAGCCCAGGGACAGUCUUUCAAGCAGCCCUUUCUAAGGACAGAAGUCUCAGGCCUGCUGUGUGAACCUUUUCUGUACAGUGGGGAUGCCAGCUCACUUGACCACAAUGAGUCACUAUGCCAUCAGCACUCUGGUGGGACCACCAAAGGAUGGCCAGGUGUAUCGACACACCUGUGUCUGCUGCAGACAGGGGACCACAGCAACUAUAUGUUGUGCAGCUCCUGGAAAUCUGAUGUUCCUGUGACAUCCACCAAACUGGGUUCUCUGCUUCUCGAUGUCACCAGCCUCCCACUUAAAGUUCAAGAUGUAUUUGUUUGACCAAUCCAAGAUGAGAACCUGGCAUUUUUUUGCUUCUGCAGUGGGGGUUGGGCUCUGUCUCCCAGCAAGGCUCAUAGAUGAGUGUAUUAGUUUUCUAGGGAUCUCCUAGCAAGGUACCACAGACUGGGUGACUUAAGCAACAGAAAUUACUUUUCUCACAAUUCUGGAGGCUAGAAUUCCAAAAUCAAAGUGUGGGCAGGAUUGGUUUCUUUUGAGGCCUCUCUUCUUAGCUUGUAGAUUGCCAUCUUCCCUCCCUGUGUGUCUGUCUUAAUCCUUCAUCUCCUUCUCCUUCUUUUUUUUCCAUUUAAAAAAUUGUAGUGGAAUACACAUAACAAAUUUUAACAUUUUAACCAUUUUUAAGUGUACAGUUAUAUCAAUGUAUUAAUUUGGCAUAAAAGUAAUUGCAGUUUUUCCCAUUAAAGGUAAUGGCAAAACAGCAAUUACUUUUGCAUCUACUAUUACAGACCUUCAUAAUGAUGUGCAAAUAUCAUUACCAUCUACCUCCAGAACUCUUCAUGCUGUAAAACUGAAACUCUAUACCCAUUAAACACUAACUCCCUAUUCUCCUUUCUCCUGAGCUCUCUGAGCCCUAUGUUUUCUUCUAAGCAUCUAUAGUUUUAGGUCUUACAUUUAGGUCUUUGAUCCAUUUUUUAGUUAAUUUUUUUAUAUGGUGUUAGGUAAGGGUCCAAUUUCAUUCUUUUGCUUGUGGAUGUUCAGAUUUCCCAGCACCGUUUGUUGAAUAAACUGUCCUUUUGCCAUGGAAUGGUUUUGGCACCUUUGUCAAAAAUCAAUAAACCCAGCUGGGCAGGGUGGCUCAUGCCUGUAAUCCCGCAACUUUGGGAG